RNAcentral lists this ribosomal RNA (402 nucleotides) under uncultured bacterium. Its description in RNAcentral is "bacterial SSU rRNA". It matches the Rfam family "Bacterial small subunit ribosomal RNA", at positions 356 to 773 of the family's 1533-position model. The record is from RNAcentral.
GGGGAAUGUUGCGCAAUGGGCGAAAGCCUGACGCAGCCAACCCGCGCGUGUGAUGAAGGCCUUCGGGUUGUAAAGCACUGUCGUGAGGGAAGAAAUUUUGACGGUACCUCACAAGGAAGCACCGGCUAACCCCGUGCCAGCAGCCGCGGUAAUACGGGGGGUGCAAGCGUUGCUCGGAAUCACUGGGCGUAAAGCGUCCGCAGGCGGACCAUUAAGUCGGUCGUGAAAGCCCGGGGCUCAACCCCGGAACUGCGAUCGAAACUGGUGGUCUUGAGUUCGGGAGAGGGAGGUGGAAUUCCAGGUGUAGAGGUGAAAUUCGUAGAUAUCUGGAGGAACACCGGUGGCGAAAGCGGCCUCCUGGCCCGAUACUGACGCUCAUGGACGAAAGCGUGGGGAGCAAAC